Molecule: long non-coding RNA, 1147 nt
Organism: Heterocephalus glaber (naked mole-rat)
Lineage: Eukaryota; Metazoa; Chordata; Mammalia; Rodentia; Bathyergidae
Source: Ensembl
UCUCCUCCGACCUUGGCUGCCUCUGGGUCAUGUCACGCCGUCCUAGGCUGUUCCUUCAGUGCUCCGAAAGGACUACAGACUGAGCUCGGGAGAGCAGGGCCGAGAUGGGAGGGCAGACAGGGAAGGAGCCAUGCUGCACCCUCGCGGAACCGGAAGGGUGCGCAAGCUGACAGAAGAGCGUCAAGGGCAGAUCCAGGCCUUAAAGACAAACUGAAGCCCACAGAGCCUGAGAAGGGCAAGUGGAGAGAAACAUCAAGAACCCACCUCCUUCAACCACCAGCAGCGCCGAAAGCUGGAGGCUCAGUUUGGCAGACCACGCCCCCAGAGAAGAACCUCGGAAAGAGCGGGCGGAGACUCCGCCUACAGGCGAGAACAGUGAGGUCCGGUCUGGGAACAGGCGGUUCAGACAGGAAGCAGCAGGAGCAGCGUGAGCAGUCACUCCUGCAGGCAAACCGGAGCCUUCCGCCGCCGAGAAGAAUAUGCCCCGGGCUCACAACACCCACCCAGCAUUCAUCUUUCUCCCUGUGGUUUACAUUUCCAUGGCUCCGUCCCUGUCAGCCCAAGAGCCCCUCUGGCUGUUCAGAGCCCUUCGUCUUCACAGAAAGUCCCACGGUUGAUUUCCGAGCGAGGGCUCGAGCCCCAGCUGGGGGGCUGGUAGCCUCUGUCGCUGCCCUUGUCCUGACGCCUGUGGCCCGAAUCAGAGCUCUGCAGUUUUCCUGGCGAGUGUGAGGCUGCAGCCGUCUGCUCCGUGCCCUCCACCUGCGAGGUCCCAGCGAAGAGGACAGCACGGGCGUCCCUGAGCACCUUGGCGGUCCAGCUCUAGGUCCCGGGCAAACCUUCGCACCCAGCGCGCCGAGCCAAGACUGCUAUCUGCAGUCUCGGAGACGGCGUGGCACCCAGGGCCCCUCCAUAGGUAGACUUUGCCUUUCUCUGACCAAAGUAUUUUAAAAUUAAUUGUGUUGGUGCAUUUUGAAUGUGCAUAAUGAUCACACUCAUGGGGGGAGUUUGUACUGCACAUGGUACAUCUCGGUUCCUUUUUCCCUAACUUCUUCCCCUCCCUUCAACUCCCUUUCCCCCUCCUUGCUUACAAAAGCUGUUUCCCCUCUGUUCCUUCUGUUCUCCUUUUCUUCUCCCUUCUCCCCUCCCC